Molecule: ribosomal RNA, 430 nt
Filed under: Pseudomonadota bacterium
Lineage: Bacteria; Pseudomonadati; Pseudomonadota
Description: Proteobacteria bacterium partial 16S ribosomal RNA
Rfam family: Bacterial small subunit ribosomal RNA
Source: RNAcentral
UGGGGAAUAUUGGACAAUGGGGGGAACCCUGAUCCAGCCAUGCCGCGUGUGUAAAGAAGGCCUUAUGGUUGUAAAGCACUUUAAGCGAGGAGGAGGGUACUGGUAUUAAUACUACCAGGUACUGGACGUUACUCGCAGAAUAAGCACCGGCUAACUCUGUGCCAGCAGCCGCGGUAAUACAGAGGGUGCGAGCGUUAAUCGGAUUUACUGGGCGUAAAGCGUGCGUAGGCGGCUAAUUGAGUCGGAUGUGAAAUCCCCGAGCUUAACUUGGGAAUUGCAUUCGAUACUGGUUAGCUAGAGUGUGGGAGAGGAUGGUAGAAUUCCAGGUGUAGCGGUGAAAUGCGUAGAGAUCUGGAGGAAUACCGAUGGCGAAGGCAGCCAUCUGGCCUAACACUGACGCUGAGGUACGAAAGCAUGGGGAGCAAACAGG